Monodelphis domestica (gray short-tailed opossum) is the source of this 1344-nucleotide long non-coding RNA. RefSeq lists it as uncharacterized. The record is from RefSeq and is a predicted model, not a curated record. NCBI's taxonomy places the organism in Eukaryota, Metazoa, Chordata, Mammalia, Didelphimorphia, Didelphidae.
CAGAGUGCUUGCUGAGGGACCCCAAACCCCAGGGAAGUAGGGGUCAUCCUGGGUGCAAAUAGGACCAUUAUACAGAGAGGAAACUCUGGCUCCCCGGGUAAAGGGCCUGGAGGCUGAGCCAGGGCUGCUGCCCGUCUUCAGAGUUGUAGAUUACAGGUUUGGUAAGAAGGCUCUGGGCCAGGUACCUCAGCUGAGAGGGAGAGAAUCAAGGAAGACUGACUGACCCAAGAACUGAAAUUCAUUGAUAAAGGAGGGAAGAGACCACAAGGGAGUCUCACUUGGAAUUUUGCUCAAGAAUUUGCAUCUUUAUAGACCAAAGAACCCAUACCAUUCUAAUUUGAUCAAAUCUUCGCAGUAUGAAAUCAACUCUCCAAUGGGAGAUUCCUGGAUAGAAUGUGUUAAUCUAUUCCACUUAGCUCAAAGUACCUCCCCUAGUUAACCUUCUGAAAUGAAUUGUUUCCCUCUUUAAAACGUUAGCUCUGGAAGGCCAAGAGACUAGUAAACCCUAAAUAAAUGCUUUGUCAUUCAUUCAUCCAAAUAACCCUCAGGAAUAUUCAUGUCACUUUUAUUUUCAUUUGAAUUAGAUUUGCUUUCUUUUAUUAGUAAAAAUAGUAAAUGACUAAGCACUCAUUAAAAUUUAGUAAAAUUGAUCAACAAUAGCAGUAAAAAUCCAGAUCUUUUGCUACACAAUCCGAAUUUCAUUCUCUGUUCCCAGAGCUGGAGACAGUAUAACUGUGAUUUUAAAAAAUACAUUUCAAUAAAUAGUUGCUUACAUUUCAAAGAUCUUGGGAAUUUAGACAAAACUUAAACCAAAGAACAAAGUGAAACUAAUCCCAUCUGUAAACAAAUAAACAGGGAAAUCUAGAAAUCCCCAGUUUAUUUAGUUUGAGGGGAGAAAUCCCAGGUUUCGACCUCAUCACAGGAUAGGUUCCUACUUCAGGUGGGAGGCAGAUCCCAUCAGAAGUUAAGUAGCUCUUUUGUCUCCAGAAGCCUUUCCCAGUAUUUCACACCCUCCUUACUGAGGAUCGAACUUGGGACCUUCAGCUUGACGUGCUACCUACUGUGUCCAAGCUGAAGUGGAUGUCUAUUGUCUGGUGAAGUGGGACCUUCCCUCAGGGGGAAACCUAUCCUGUGAUAAGGUCAAAACCUGGGGUUUCUCCCCUCAAACUAAAUAAACGGGAUUUCUAGAUUUCCAUGUUGACAGAUCUAAUCAACAAACUUUUGUUUAGCUUGUAGUAAACUAAAUAAGCAUUAGUAAUGUAUUGUUUAUCUAUUUACCAAUUACCAAAAAACAACAACACACCACCACUUUUACCUUCCAUCUUAGAAUUAAUUGCUCUGUAU